RNAcentral lists this ribosomal RNA (240 nucleotides) under uncultured bacterium. RNAcentral's name for it is "partial 16S ribosomal RNA". It matches the Rfam family "Bacterial small subunit ribosomal RNA", at positions 15 to 235 of the family's 1533-position model. The record is from RNAcentral.
GAUCAUGGCUCAGGAUGAACGCUGGCGGCGUGCUUAACACAUGCAAGUCGAGCGAAGCACUUUUGCGGAUUUCUUCGGAUUGAAGCAAUUGUGACUGAGCGGCGGACGGGUGAGUAACGCGUGGGUAACCUGCCUCAUACAGGGGGAUAACAGUUAGGAAACGGCUGCUAAUACCGCAUAAGCGCACAGUACCGCAUGGUACCGUGUGAAAAACUCCGGUGGUAUGAGAUGGACCCGGCG